Molecule: ribosomal RNA, 460 nt
Filed under: uncultured bacterium
Lineage: Bacteria
Description: partial 16S ribosomal RNA
Rfam family: Bacterial small subunit ribosomal RNA
Source: RNAcentral
CCUACGGGAGGCAGCAGUGAGGAAUAUUGGUCAAUGGACGAGAGUCUGAACCAGCCAAGCAGCGUGAAGGAUGACUGUCCUAAGGGUUGUAAACUUCUUUUAUAUGGGAAUAAAAUGUUCCACGUGUGGGAUUUUGUAUGUACCAUAUGAAUAAGCAUCGGCUAACUCCGUGCCAGCAGCCGCGGUAAUACGGAGGAUCCGAGCGUUAUCCGGAUUUAUUGGGUUUAAAGGGAGCGUAGGCGGAUUGUUAAGUCAGUUGUGAAAGUUUGCGGCUCAACCGUAAAAUUGCAGUUGAUACUGGUAGCCUUGAGUUCAGGUGAGGUAGGCGGAAUGCGUGGUGUAGCGGUGAAAUGCUUAGAUAUCGCGAAGAACUCCGAUUGCGAAGGCAGCUUACUAAACUGCCACUGACAUUGAUGCUCGAAAGUGUGGGUAUCGAACAGGAUUAGAUACCCUGGUAGUC